Molecule: ribosomal RNA, 124 nt
Filed under: Intestinibacter bartlettii DSM 16795
Lineage: Bacteria; Bacillati; Bacillota; Clostridia; Peptostreptococcales; Peptostreptococcaceae
Source: RNAcentral
UAGAUUAUGUGGUUAUUAUAGCAAGGAGGAUACACCUGUUCCCAUUCCGAACACAGAAGUUAAGCUCCUGAGCGCUGAUGGUACUUGGUGGGCAACCGCCUGGGAGAGUAAGACGUAGCCACGU